CCUACGGGUGGCUGCAGUGAGGAAUAUUGGUCAAUGGACGAGAGUCUGAACCAGCCAAGCAGCGUGAAUGAUGACUGCCCUAUGGUUUGUAAACUUCUUUUAUAAAGGAAUAAAACGAGGCACGUGUGCCUUCUUGCAUGUACUUUAUGAAUAAGGAUCGGCUAACUCCGUGCCAGCAGCCGCGGUAAUACGGUGGAUCCGAGCGUUAUCCGGAUUUAUUGGGUUGAAAGGGAGCGUAGAUGGGUAGUUAAGUCAGUUGUGAAAGUUUGGGGCUCAACCGUAAAAUUGCAAUGGAUACUGGAAGUAUGGAGUGCAGUUGAGGUAGGCGGAAUUCGUGGUGUAGCGGUGAAAUGCUUAGAUAUCACGAAGAACACCGAUUGCGAAGGCAGCUUACUAGACUGUGACUGACAUUGAUGCUCGAAAGUGUGGGGAUCAAACAGGAUUAGAUACCCCUGUAGUC
This 460-nucleotide ribosomal RNA is filed under the name uncultured bacterium. RNAcentral describes it as "partial 16S ribosomal RNA". It matches the Rfam family "Bacterial small subunit ribosomal RNA", at positions 338 to 795 of the family's 1533-position model. The record is from RNAcentral.